AUACCUUUCUCGGCCUUUUGGCUAAGAUCAAGUGUAGUAUCUGUUCUUAUCAGUUUAAUAUCUGAUAUGUGGAUCAUUGAUUCACACGAUAUUAACUCAAUUUUUUAAGGGGUAGAAUCCAUGAAGGUAGCUUGCUACCUGGGCUCUUGUGCGUCGCUCAUGCGUUGCACUACUGCACGGGCUUGGCGCACCCCAC
This is a non-coding RNA of Solanum lycopersicum (tomato), 196 nucleotides long. Lineage: Eukaryota; Viridiplantae; Streptophyta; Magnoliopsida; Solanales; Solanaceae. The record is from Rfam.